GACGAACGCUGGCGGCGUGCCUAAUACAUGCAAGUCGAACGCACUGGGGACGGGUGAGUAACACGUGGGUAACCUCUCCUCAGAGGGGAUAACACUUGGAAACAGGUGCUAAACCGACAUUGAUGGAUGGACUCGCGGUGCAUUAGCUAGUUGGUGAGGUAACGGCUCACCAAGGCCACGAUGCAUAGCGGACCUGUGAGGAGGGUCGGCACCACUGGGACUGAGACACGGCCCAGACUCCAACGGGAGGCGGCAGUAGGGAAUCUUCGGCAAUGGACGAGAGUCUGACCGAGCAACGCCGCGUGAGUGAAGAAGGUUUUCGGAUCGUAGAACUCUGUUGUUAGAGAAGCGGUAUCUAACCAGAAAGCCACGGCUAACUACGUGCCAGCAGCCGCGUUAAUAC
RNAcentral lists this ribosomal RNA (403 nucleotides) under uncultured bacterium. Its description in RNAcentral is "partial 16S ribosomal RNA". It matches the Rfam family "Bacterial small subunit ribosomal RNA", at positions 28 to 526 of the family's 1533-position model. The record is from RNAcentral.